UCUUAGAAACAUGGGGGUAGUCAGUUUCAUUGGUGCUUGUUUUCUUUUGCCAUCCUUGAAACUUCAGAGAAAUCUAAUUUAAAUGUCCCGGGCUGGUCUCAGCUGUGCCAGAGAAUUCAGGAAAAGAAUUCAGCUGGUCUCAGCUGUGGAGAAUUCGGGAAAAGGUCAAGUACCCAUGCUUGGGAUGGCGGUGAAGGAGGAAUGGUAAUCGGCAGAUUUCCGAGAGUAAGCUCGUGUCACUAGAAGCUCAUUCUAUGCUGAAGACCACACUGACCGUUGUGGAGGGGAACACAAAGUGAAAUCUCCUGCUUUAAAAAGCGCUGACAGGCGAUAGGAAGCCAGGGGCUGGAAUGCAAUGGCGCCAUCUCGGCUCACCUCAACCUCUGCCUCCCGGAUUCA
Rhinopithecus roxellana (golden snub-nosed monkey) is the source of this 399-nucleotide long non-coding RNA. RefSeq lists it as uncharacterized. The record is from RefSeq and is a predicted model, not a curated record. The transcript is spliced from 3 exons. NCBI's taxonomy places the organism in Eukaryota, Metazoa, Chordata, Mammalia, Primates, Cercopithecidae.